This 292-nucleotide ribosomal RNA is filed under the name Escherichia coli. Its description in RNAcentral is "partial 23S ribosomal RNA". It matches the Rfam family "Bacterial large subunit ribosomal RNA", at positions 786 to 1077 of the family's 2925-position model. The record is from RNAcentral. Lineage: Bacteria; Pseudomonadati; Pseudomonadota; Gammaproteobacteria; Enterobacterales; Enterobacteriaceae.
GUGUUGCAAAACUAGCGGAUGAGCUGUGGAUAGGGGUGAAAGGCUAAACAAACUUGGAAAUAGCUGGUUCUCUCCGAAAACUAUUUAGGUAGUGCCUCAAGUAUUACCAUCGGGGGUAGAGCACUGUUAUGGCUAGGGGGUCAUGGCGACUUACCAAACCAUUGCAAACUCCGAAUACCGAUGAGUACAGCUUGGGAGACAGUGCACCGGGUGCUAACGUCCGGACACAAGAGGGAAACAACCCAGACGGCCAGCUAAGGUCCCUAAAAUUGGCUAAGUGGGAAACGAAGUG